AUUGAACGCUGGCGGCAGGCCUAACACAUGCAAGUCGAGCGGAUGAAGGGAGCUUGCUCCUGGAUUCAGCGGCGGACGGGUGAGUAAUGCCUAGGAAUCUGCCUGGUAGUGGGGGAUAACGUCCGGAAACGGGCGCUAAUACCGCAUACGUCCUGAGGGAGAAAGUGGGGGAUCUUCGGACCUCACGCUAUCAGAUGAGCCUAGGUCGGAUUAGCUAGUUGGUGGGGUAAAGGCCUACCAAGGCGACGAUCCGUAACUGGUCUGAGAGGAUGAUCAGUCACACUGGAACUGAGACACGGUCCAGACUCCUACGGGAGGCAGCAGUGGGGGGUAUUGGACAAUGGGCGAAAGCCUGAUCCAGCCAUGCCGCGUGUGUGAAGAAGGUCUUCGGAUUGUAAAGCACUUUAAGUUGGGAGGAAGGGCAGUAAGUUAAUACCUUGCUGUUUUGACGUUACCAACAGAAUAAGCACCGGCUAACUUCGUG
This 484-nucleotide ribosomal RNA is filed under the name uncultured bacterium. Its description in RNAcentral is "partial 16S ribosomal RNA". It matches the Rfam family "Bacterial small subunit ribosomal RNA", at positions 30 to 507 of the family's 1533-position model. The record is from RNAcentral.